AUGGCGGCGUCGUGGUGGCCCCGGAUGUGUUCCGGCGCCAGCACCCUCACGCUGCUCUUCUCCACCACGAACCGCCCCCGCGCCGGCGCCACCAUGGCCGCCGCCACGCACACCGCCAGCACGGCAGCCAAGAACUGCCUAGCGCCACCGCCGCCGCCCAUUUCCGCGCGCACGAUCAGUCGAAUGGAGCUGCGGCUGUCGAGAGAGGGGGAGAAUUUGGGCGAGGAGGCGUUUGGUGAGAGCGAGGUUAGGUGGGCUCGGACGGAGGAGAGAAAUGGUUCGGUUCUUGCCGGGCUCCUACUGCUCGUGAUUCGCGAGGGAGGCGCGCGGGGUUGGGAUGAUGACGACGGGAGGGAGGGGGGUGUUGCUUGGAGUGUACUGCUGCGGUGCGGAGGAGGCUGA
This 402-nucleotide ribosomal RNA is filed under the name Triticum aestivum (bread wheat). RNAcentral describes it as "partial small subunit ribosomal RNA". Lineage: Eukaryota; Viridiplantae; Streptophyta; Magnoliopsida; Poales; Poaceae. The record is from RNAcentral.